UGGGGAAUAUUGGACAAUGGGCGCAAGCCUGAUCCAGCCAUGCCGCGUGAGUGAAGAAGGCCUUCGGGUUGUAAAGCUCUUUUGUCAGGGAAGAAACGGUAGUAGCGAAUAACUAUUACUAAUGACGGUACCUGAAGAAUAAGCACCGGCUAACUACGUGCCAGCAGCCGCGGUAAUACGUAGGGUGCAAGCGUUAAUCGGAAUUACUGGGCGUAAAGCGUGCGCAGGCGGUUGUGUAAGUCAGAUGUGAAAUCCCCGGGCUCAACCUGGGAAUUGCAUUUGAGACUGCACGGCUAGAGUGUGUCAGAGGGGGGUAGAAUUCCACGUGUAGCAGUGAAAUGCGUAGAUAUGUGGAGGAAUACCGAUGGCGAAGGCAGCCCCCUGGGAUAACACUGACGCUCAUGCACGAAAGCGUGGGGAGCAAACAGGAUUAGAUACCCGUGUAGUCCCUGAGCGGGCUGGCAAGGCGCAU
RNAcentral lists this ribosomal RNA (472 nucleotides) under uncultured bacterium. RNAcentral's name for it is "bacterial SSU rRNA". It matches the Rfam family "Bacterial small subunit ribosomal RNA", at positions 355 to 825 of the family's 1533-position model. The record is from RNAcentral.